Molecule: unclassified non-coding RNA, 117 nt
Organism: Papio anubis (olive baboon)
Lineage: Eukaryota; Metazoa; Chordata; Mammalia; Primates; Cercopithecidae
Rfam family: Metazoan signal recognition particle RNA
About the family: The signal recognition particle (SRP) is a universally conserved ribonucleoprotein. It is involved in the co-translational targeting of proteins to membranes.
Source: Ensembl
GCCGGGCAUGGUGGCUCAUGCCUGUAAUCCCAUCACUUUGGGAGGCUGAGGUGGGUGGAUCACCUGAGGACAGGAGUUCAAGACCAGCCUGGCCAACAUGGUGAAACCCCAUCUCUA